This is a non-coding RNA of Pelobates cultripes (western spadefoot toad), 279 nucleotides long. Lineage: Eukaryota; Metazoa; Chordata; Amphibia; Anura; Pelobatidae. The record is from the annotation of a GenBank genome assembly.
AGGGAAGUGGUGACUAGUGACAGAGUUAGGGAGGGAAGGGGUGACUAGUGACAAAGUGAGGAAGGGGUGACUAGUGACAGAGUGAGGGAGGGAAGGGGGUGACUAGUGACAGUCACCACCUCCUUCACUCUGUCACUAGUCACCCCCUCCCUCACUCUGUCACUGUGUCACCCCCUUCCUCACUCUGUCACUAGUCACCCUCUCUCUCACUCUGUCACUAGUCACCCUCUCUCUCACUCUGUCUCUAGUCACCCCGUCCCUCACUCUGUCACUAGAGUG